CUACGGGCCGCUCCAGUGGGGAAUAUUGCACAAUGGGCGCAAGCCUGAUGCAGCCAUGCCGCGUGUAUGAAGAAGGCCUUCGGGCUGUAAUGUACUUUCAGCGGGGAGGAAGGGAGUAAAGUUAAUACCUUUGCUCAUUGACGUUACCCGCAGAAGAAGCACCGGCUAACUCCGUGCCAGCAGCCGCGGGUAACACGGAGGGUGCAAGCGUUAAUCGGAAUUACUGGGCGUAAAGCGCACGCAGGCGGUUUGUUAAGUCAGAUGUGAAAUCCCCGGGCUCAACCUGGGAACUGCAUCUGAUACUGGCAAGCUUGAGUCUCGUAGAGGGGGGUAGAAUUCCAGGUGUAGCGGUGAAAUGCGUAGAGAUCUGGAGGAAUACCGGUGGCGAAGGCGGCCCCCUGGACGAAGACUGACGCUCAGGUGCGAAAGCGUGGGGAGCAAACAGGAUUAGAUACCCCCGUAGUC
This 465-nucleotide ribosomal RNA is filed under the name uncultured bacterium. Its description in RNAcentral is "partial 16S ribosomal RNA". It matches the Rfam family "Bacterial small subunit ribosomal RNA", at positions 339 to 795 of the family's 1533-position model. The record is from RNAcentral.